UACGGAGGGUGCAAGCGUUAUCCGGAUUCACUGGGUUUAAAGGGUGCGUAGGCGGGCAGGUAAGUCAGUGGUGAAAUCUUCGAGCUUAACUCGGAAACUGCCGUUGAUACUAUCUGUCUUGAAUAACGUUGAGGUGAGCGGAAUAUGUCAUGUAGCGGUGAAAUGCUUAGAUAUGACAUAGAACACCGAUUGCGAAGGCAGCUCACUAAACGCUCAUUGACGCUGAGGCACGAAAGCGUGGGGAUCAAACAGG
RNAcentral lists this ribosomal RNA (253 nucleotides) under uncultured bacterium. RNAcentral's name for it is "partial 16S ribosomal RNA". It matches the Rfam family "Bacterial small subunit ribosomal RNA", at positions 524 to 776 of the family's 1533-position model. The record is from RNAcentral.